UGGGGAAUAUUGGACAAUGGGGGCAACCCUGAUCCAGCAAUGCCGCGUGUGUGAAGAAGGUCUUCGGAUUGUAAAGCACUUUCGACGGGGACGAUGAUGACGGUACCCGUAGAAGAAGCCCCGGCUAACUUCGUGCCAGCAGCCGCGGUAAUACGAAGGGGGCUAGCGUUGCUCGGAAUGACUGGGCGUAAAGGGCGUGUAGGCGGUUUACACAGUCAGAUGUGAAAUCCCCGGGCUUAACCUGGGAGCUGCAUUUGAUACGUGUAGACUAGAGUGUGAGAGAGGGUUGUGGAAUUCCCAGUGUAGAGGUGAAAUUCGUAGAUAUUGGGAAGAACACCGGUGGCGAAGGCGGCAACCUGGCUCAUGACUGACGCUGAGGCGCGAAAGCGUGGGGAGCAAACAGGAUUAGAUACCCCGGUAGUCCACGCCUGUAAACGAUGUGUGCUAGAUGUUGGGUAACUUUGUUAUUCAGUGUCGCAGUUAACGCGUUAAGCACACCGCCUGGGGAGUACGGCCGCAAGGUUGAAAC
Molecule: ribosomal RNA, 529 nt
Filed under: uncultured bacterium
Lineage: Bacteria
Description: partial 16S ribosomal RNA
Rfam family: Bacterial small subunit ribosomal RNA
Source: RNAcentral